AAGGUGCACUUGGAUAU
RNAcentral lists this ribosomal RNA (17 nucleotides) under Occidozyga laevis. Its description in RNAcentral is "partial 12S small subunit ribosomal RNA". Lineage: Eukaryota; Metazoa; Chordata; Amphibia; Anura; Dicroglossidae. The record is from RNAcentral.